Molecule: ribosomal RNA, 253 nt
Filed under: uncultured bacterium
Lineage: Bacteria
Description: partial 16S ribosomal RNA
Rfam family: Bacterial small subunit ribosomal RNA
Source: RNAcentral
UACGGAGGGUGCAAGCGUUAUCCGGAUUCACUGGGCUUAAAGGGUGCGUAGGCGGACAGGUAAGUCAGUGGUGAAAUCUCUGGGCUUAACUCAGAAACUGCCGUUGAUACUAUUUCUCUUGAAUAUCAUGGAGGUAAGCGGAAUAUGUCAUGUAGCGGUGAAAUGCUUAGAUAUGACAUAGAACACCAAUAGCGAAGGCAGCUUACUACAUGGAGAUUGACGCUGAGGCACGAAAGCGUGGGGAGCAAACAGG